ACUCCCCACCCUCACCCCAGCACUGUUACACAACGGUCACUGCCGCGGGCACAAAACACCAAGGGACAAACGGACUGUCGCGGGGAGAGGGGAAGAAAAUGGGGUUGCGUGGGGUGGAGCUGAACAGAAGCCUCCCACAGAGAGCAAGUGUGCAGACCUCAGCUCCUCUCCCCUCUCUCCCACAACCCUCUAUUAGCCUCUGCAGGGCUUCUGGGCACCUGCAUGUCAGAUCGUUGGGGUUAGAACCCUCGCUCCACCACUUCCUAGCUGUGUGACAUUAACCAAGUGAAUUUACUUUUCUGAACCUGUUUCCAUACUGUGAAAUGGAAAUAAUGAAACCUGCCUCUUGAAAUUAUUUGGGAGAAUUAAAUGAGAUCUCAUGCCUAUAAGGUCUAUUACAUUAAGGUCUAUUUACAUUACAUGUAAAGGACAAAUCAUUUUUUUUUCUAAGUCUUCUAAUUGCUGAAUAGACCAUUUUAUUUCCAGCAUCGGGCACACAGUGGGUGCUCCUUGGUUCGAUGAAUAAACAAGCCAAUCCCCUCGCUGGUUGGUAAGUCCUAUGAAGGCAAUGAUGGUAUGUCUCUUACUACUGCAUCCUCACCACCCACCAUGGACCCUGGCAGAUAAAAGGUGCUCAAUACAUUGUUGAACAGAAUCUCUGCACCAACUAUCCUUGCUCACGGCAGGGGCAGCCCUCACCUUCUUC
RNAcentral lists this long non-coding RNA (706 nucleotides) under Homo sapiens (human). RNAcentral describes it as "non-protein coding lnc-KIAA0141-4:1". The record is from RNAcentral. Lineage: Eukaryota; Metazoa; Chordata; Mammalia; Primates; Hominidae.